This 441-nucleotide ribosomal RNA is filed under the name uncultured bacterium. Its description in RNAcentral is "bacterial SSU rRNA". It matches the Rfam family "Bacterial small subunit ribosomal RNA", at positions 958 to 1398 of the family's 1533-position model. The record is from RNAcentral.
AACGCGAAGAACCUUACCUGGGCUUGAACCGCACAGGACCAUUCCUAGAAAUAGGGACUUCCCGCAAGGGACCUGUGUAGAGGUGCUGCAUGGCUGUCGUCAGCUCGUGCCGUGAGGUGUUGGGUUAAGUCCCGCAACGAGCGCAACCCUUACUCGUAGUUGCCACCCGCAAGGGGGAACUCUACGAGGACUGCUCCGGAUAACGGAGAGGAAGGUGGGGAUGAGGUCAAGUCAGCAUGGCCUUUAUGUCCAGGGCUACACACGUGUUACAAUGCGCGCUACAAACCGUCGCAAACCCGCGAGGGGGAGCUAAUCGGAAAAAGCCGGCCUCAGUUCGGAUUGGAGUCUGCAACCCGACUCCAUGAAGCUGGAAUCGCUAGUAAUCGCGGAUCAGAACGCCGCGGUGAAUACGUUCCCGGGCCUUGUACACACCGAGACGUA